UUUAGGGAUUUUACACUUACCCUUUACACGUACUUGACACCUUGCCCUCCACCGCAUCCAGAUUACAGAGAUGGAUAGAGAGAGUAGCACGGCAGAGACAGAGAGAGAGAGGAGCGGCGGAGAUGGAGGACCGGCCAUCGUCUCCUGUCGGCCACCCUCUUGGCCUUCGGUCAGACCGGUGGUGGGUUGUCGUGGUUAAUACGCGUGAAACGAGGGUUUGGCGGUAGCUAAAGCUGACAAUGACGGCUGGGGGUUCUAGGGUUCCGAAUAAUGUACCGGUGACUCUCAUCGGACGAUCUAGAGAAAGAAUGGGAGACUGGAAGCAAACAACGACAGAAGGCGGUGGUGCUCCGUCCGGUAUCAAGACACAGAUUAGGGAGAUAGAGAGAGGAGUAAGAGCGAGAUAAAGAUUAGAGAGGUAGUAGAUGGAACAGAGCAAUGGUGAUGGAGGAACAGGCAGUGGUCUCCGCCCGGCCACCGACCGGUGGUGAUGGUCUGGCGGUUUUGACGCACCAAAAAGAUAGAAGGCGGUGGUGCUUAAGGGUUCCAAUGUGACAGUAUGAAGACGGCGAUAAUAAACCUCCCGUUAGACUACUCUUUUCUUUUGCCAGAUCAGAACAUCAUGUCCUUUCAACAAUGGGGGAGGGGGGCGAUUUGCAGUUACUUGCUUGGUUAAAAAUGUAAGAUGAUGAUGGUGAAGGUUCUAGUGACAUCUUAGAAUAAGGAGACGAAGAAAAAGAUUGAUUCUAUGAUGAAGGCUGCGGCAUUUAGACACCAUAGGACAAAUCAACAGGUACAUGCAAAGGGUUUGUGGAGGUUAGAUUCAACGAUCUUUUUAUUUCAAAUCAGCCGGUACAUCCAUGUAUGUGACACCGACACACCAUUUUAUUUUGGUACCAUAGGUUCGAAGAGCAACGAUUUGUAUAUAUUUUGAUUUGAUACUCUUGGCCUCUUAGGCUGACAUAUUCUGUAUCUACAUUUUGAACGUUCGCUUUUGAGAAUUAGGUGGUCACCUGCUUGGCAUCGAGUUUGAACUUCUAGACGUGAAGUUGGUUCCCACCAGUGGCGCAUCGAGUUUUUCGGGUCCUUUAUCUUCUAUCAUGGCUUCCUCUUCUUCAAAGAAACUUUAGCGUUUGGAAAUCAGAUUCCGCUUUCAGAUUUCUUCGAGUUGAUUGCUCUCUCCACAAAUUGUAUCUGAAGAUGACAACUGAAGCAAUGCAUGUUCCGAAAUCUGGAUUCAGUUUUCACAUGUGUAGGAGAAACAAGAUGAUGACGAAGAAAGGGUUAAAAUCUAUGGGCAUCUUAGCAUCCGAACUACUAUUGUUGGCUAAAUCUUUGAGGGGAAACUAUCUAAACAAGAAGACAAAGGUUCAUAACUAGACUCUGCUCCGAAGCACAAACUCUGAAACGCACGCCCAUGACAAAACUACAUAGUGUUGCAAGCACGAUGUGUUUUGGGAGUUCAGUCACCAUGAACAUGUGUUCCAAAUGCCAAGAAAUGAUAUUAAAGCAGGAAAAUGCCACAGUUGGAUUUAUCUUUUGAUGACAUCAUCAAUCAGCAGCAGCAGUGUAGUUGAAUGUGUUUCCAAUUCAAGCACCACCUAAUGAAGACUCAUCGUCAACUCAA
Molecule: long non-coding RNA, 1627 nt
Organism: Helianthus annuus (common sunflower)
Lineage: Eukaryota; Viridiplantae; Streptophyta; Magnoliopsida; Asterales; Asteraceae
Exons: 4
Source: RefSeq, a predicted model, not a curated record